This 596-nucleotide long non-coding RNA is filed under the name Mytilus galloprovincialis (Mediterranean mussel). The record is from RNAcentral. Lineage: Eukaryota; Metazoa; Mollusca; Bivalvia; Mytilida; Mytilidae.
AAAAUUACACUCAUCGUCUGGUUAUAUAGAAGUUUGACAAACACUUGUGAUCAUUGAGACGCUUAAUAUUCCCUUAACAACACAACGUAAUUAAAACGUUUAACUGAUAUUACAGAGUUAUCUCCCUGUAGUGUUAGGUACCACCUCAACAUAGAUAACCAUACAUUCUUGACUUUCAAUAUUGUAGCUAUAAGCGUUUUGGGGGGAAAGUAUACCAAGACAAGCGGUUCAGACAUAUUGAGUUAAACAGUGAUAUUUUCAGGUUGUUGAUAAUUCAAUAGCAAAAACAAUAAAGUGUAGAAGUGAUGAUUUAUCUAAUUAUUCAAUAUUUUAAUAAAAUUGGAUAUGGAAAACAGCCAUACUUAAAACAUUCAGAAGGUCGUGCAAAAUACUUUUAGUAUAAGACACAUUUUGUCAUAGAUAUGUUUUAGUUAAACUUAUCUCAUUAGUUAAAAUCAGUAUUACGGUCUAAAAAUAGGCUAUAUUGAAGCUUUUUGCAGGCCUCGUUUUCAUUAAAUGCACAAAUUUAUCAGAUAUGUGUAAACAAAAAGCAUAAAAUUGUAAUUGUCUGAUGAACUAAUGUCUUUUUUCAAUAA